GUAGGUGAACCUGCGGAAGGAUCAUUACCGAGUUAGGGUGCCUCGUCGCGCCCGACCUCCAACCCUUUGCUUACUUGACCUAUUUUGUUGCUUCGGCAGGCCCGCCGCCCGGAAACGGGUGGCCGCCGGGGGCGUUUCACCGCCCCGGGCCCGCGCCUGUCGAUGGCCCUAUUAAAACUCUUGUCAAAACGUGUCGUCUGAGUUUAUCUAAACAAAUACAAACCAAAACUUUCAACAACGGAUCUCUUGG
Molecule: unclassified non-coding RNA, 250 nt
Filed under: plant metagenome
Description: partial contains small subunit ribosomal RNA, internal transcribed spacer 1, and 5.8S ribosomal RNA
Source: RNAcentral